CCCUGCUGUCAGUUGCACCAUAGGUUGUGACUGAGUGCAAGUUAAGAAUGCUGAACCAGAUUACAUUCAUGGAUGCUUCUACCUCUCAAUUUCUGUCAUCUGCCAGAGAGAGAAAUAUUUGAAAGUUGUUCCUGCAUGUAGAACAAACAGUAAACAUCCUGAAAAGAUUUGAUAGCCAGUCUACCUUCUGUCCAUCACCUAUAGACACCCUCUUCCUUCUCAAGUCAAACUCAGUGGGUCAGUCAUGUUCACUACUAUGCUGUUACGGAGAUGGCUACGAGAGAGUGGAACCACACUGUGGAAGAAGCUUCUGUCUUCUCUGACAAGGAAGAGGAGACAUGGGAAGCUGGGAUGUCUGUUGCUUUGUGAUUCCAUGAUAGACUUGACAACACAGAAACUACCACAAUGUGAGGAAGCCCAGCAGUCCUCUGACCACACCAUACCUGAGCACAUUUACUGUGGACAGCAUGUUUAGCUUGAAGUCUUUCCUUCUACCCCAUCAUAGCUACCACUGUUGUGAGAACUCCCAUGUCCAGCACUCCAGGGAGGUGA
RNAcentral lists this long non-coding RNA (552 nucleotides) under Homo sapiens (human). RNAcentral describes it as "HSALNT0325266". The record is from RNAcentral. Lineage: Eukaryota; Metazoa; Chordata; Mammalia; Primates; Hominidae.